CAUAUCAAUAAGCGGAGGACUGUCUCUUAUACACCAUCUCCCCGAGCCCACGAGA
This 55-nucleotide unclassified non-coding RNA is filed under the name plant metagenome. RNAcentral's name for it is "partial contains 5.8S ribosomal RNA, internal transcribed spacer 2, and large subunit ribosomal RNA". The record is from RNAcentral.